RNAcentral lists this ribosomal RNA (462 nucleotides) under uncultured bacterium. RNAcentral describes it as "bacterial SSU rRNA". It matches the Rfam family "Bacterial small subunit ribosomal RNA", at positions 337 to 791 of the family's 1533-position model. The record is from RNAcentral.
UCCUACGGGGGGCAGCAGUAGGGAAUCUUGGACAAUGGGCGAAAGCCUGAUCCAGCCAUGCCGCGUGAGUGAUGAAGGUCUUCGGACUGUAAAACUCUUUUCUGAGGGAAGAACAGGCGGCGUAGGAAAUGACGCCGUUUUGACGGUACCUCAGGAAUAAGCAACGGCUAACUCCGUGCCAGCAGCCGCGGUAAUACGGAGGUUGCGAGCGUUGUUCGGAAUGACUGGGCGUAAAGGGAGCGCAGGCGGUUCGAUUAGUCCGGAGUGAAAGCCCGGGGCUCAACCCCGGAGGGUCUCCGGAUACUGUCGAACUCGAGUACGGAAGAGGAGAGUGGAAUUCCAGGUGUAGCGGUGAAAUGCGUAGAUAUCUGGAGGAACACCGGUGGCGAAAGCGGCUCUCUGGUCCGAUACUGACGCUCAUGCUCGAAAGCGUGGGGAGCAAACGGGAUUAGAUACCCCGGU